GUGGGGAAUAUUGGACAAUGGGCGAAAGCCUGAUCCAGCCAUGCCGCGUGUGUGAAGAAGGUCUUCGGAUUGUAAAGCACUUUAAGUUGGGAGGAAGGGUAGUAACCUAAUACGUUGCUACUUUGACGUUACCGACAGAAUAAGCACCGGCUAACUUCGUGCCAGCAGCCGCGGUAAUACGAAGGGUGCAAGCGUUAAUCGGAAUUACUGGGCGUAAAGCGCGCGUAGGUGGUUCAGUAAGUUGGAAGUGAAAUCCCCGGGCUCAACCUGGGAACUGCUUUCAAAACUGCAUGACUAGAGUACGGUAGAGGGUAGUGGAAUUUCCUGUGUAGCGGUGAAAUGCGUAGAUAUAGGAAGGAACACCAGUGGCGAAGGCGACUACCUGGACUGAUACUGACACUGAGGUGCGAAAGCGUGGGGAGCAAACAGGAUUAGAAACCCCUGUAGUCC
RNAcentral lists this ribosomal RNA (450 nucleotides) under uncultured bacterium. RNAcentral describes it as "partial 16S ribosomal RNA". It matches the Rfam family "Bacterial small subunit ribosomal RNA", at positions 354 to 796 of the family's 1533-position model. The record is from RNAcentral.